Non-coding RNA from Ictidomys tridecemlineatus (thirteen-lined ground squirrel), 2052 nucleotides. NCBI's taxonomy places the organism in Eukaryota, Metazoa, Chordata, Mammalia, Rodentia, Sciuridae. The record is from RefSeq and is a predicted model, not a curated record.
CCUUGACCGUUGGAGAAGCUGGGACCAAGAUGAGCGCUAACCGUUGUGGCUUGGGUCAAAAAUAAUGACCACAGGUCCCCUGCGCCCUCAGCGCAAGCGCAAACGCCCAGGCCCCCCGCCCACGCCACUGGCCUAGAUCAUGGGUAUUUGUCCUUCCGAGAUAAACUCUUUUGGAGAUACAGGACUAAUGUAUGAUAUUUGGACUGAUAAUAAAGUGUUUUUAACCAUAUGCUAAAUGGUAUAGUAUAGAUUAUGGUUAGGGUUUCCUAAAAUUGAUAAAUCAUUGGCGACCACAGAGGCUUCAUGGAGCAUAGCUUUAGUUCAAGGAUGGGUAGGGGAGAGAACAGUGCAUUGGGAGCUGAAAGCUGUGUUCUCAUCCUGAUUUUGUUACUAACUGCUGAGAAAUGACCUUGGAUAAAUCUGGGUCUUGGUAUCCUCAUGUAUAAAUAGAAGGUGUUUCCUACGUCAUUUCAAGGAUUUGUUUCCAUCUUUGGCAGACUUUGAUUAUGGAGAACAUUCCAGGAAGAAGAAAACAGCAUUCUUAAAAACAAAGCAAAACUUAUGAAACUAAAUGCCUUGAUCUGUAUUUUAGCAUUAUUAUGAAUGUCUCUAAAAAAGCAAGUUGCUAAAAUUUAGAAUUGGUCAGUGAAAUAUGCAGAUGCUUCUCAUUAAACAGAAGUAUUGGCAAACAAGGUACAUUUUAUUAAGAUAUUGUAGGUAACUUUUAUUUAGGUGCACAUUCAAAUGUACCUAAAGAUUACGAGAUUUAUUGUUUGUGCAAAUCCCUCGAAGUAUUCUCCAGCAUUGAGCUAGAAAUCAUAACUUUAAGUGGUGUGACAUAUAAUGAAUACAGUUUGGCAACUACAUAUAAAAGCUAAUUUCAUUGCUUUAUAGAUAAAUCAAAAUUACCAUGUUCCUUUUAGGGAAAAUUUAAGAAGAGCCAUGUAACUUUUUUUUUUUUUUUUAAAUGUGUUUCUCUUAUGAGGUCUGAGAUUUCAACUCUACUUUCCAACUUCUAGCUUCUGGUAAGGUGUAUGCAUGGUAGCUUGGCCAUGACACUGUAGACAUCAGCAAGUUUCUAGUUGUUUCUACAUUAACCUUUGACCUAUGGACAAGAAUGGUUUUCUCCUCAUCUUAACCAUAUAAGGACAUCCAAGGAGCAGCAAGCAACCGUGUUGUAACUCACUUCAUCUGUAGUUAUCAAAUGCCACCUAGCUAACGAGGAAGAAUCAUUGUUAUCAAAUGCCACCUAGCUAACGAGGAAGAAUCAUCUGAGUUGGGCAUGAUCCCGACAAUGAAGACUUUUUAAACCUUGAGGAAGAAGGAAUUGAAGCAUAUGAAAAUGUUAAUACACUGGUUUUUAGGGCAGGUGUAAAUGUUAGAUUUUCUUAGGCAUUGAUGAUGUUGAAAUAACUGUUAAGUGGGAUAAUCAGACCCCACUUCUCAUGACUCUCCAAGAAAGGGAAUUCUGACUCCAAUUUCCAGGAGAAAAGUGAAGGCAAGAUCACAUCCCACUUCAUUUCUCCUCUCCCUUCCCUGCUCUUCAUUGAUCUGUCUGAUGGGCACUUUUGGAAUAAGAAGGCAUGCAUACCUGGCUUUGUGUUUCCUGGAUUAUUAUCUCAUUUGGCAUCUGCUCGUGGGACCCUGCUGCACUUGUCGACAUAAUCCAAAUGGAUGUCUGAGAUGAUUAAUGGAGAGAAGCAGAGAAUAUGGCUUUAGAUCUGCAACCCCAAGGACUUGCUAACACUCCACACUACUCCAGCCCUUAUUUGGCAGGCAAGAGUUCUUUUAAGUAAAGAAGAUUAUACUUGAUGAUGUAAGUGGGCCUCAUGCAAAUAGUUGACAGCCUGAAGAGCAAAAAACAUGGUUCCUGGGGAAGAAGAAAUUCUGUUACAAAACUAUAAUGGAGAAAUCUACUGAGGUUCCAGCAUGACCUGCAGAUUUUGGACUCAGGAUUGCAAUGUUAACUCUCAGCUGAGUUUCUAGCCUGCUGCCUGCCCUACAGACUUUGAACUCACCAGCUCUAAAAAUUGCAUGAGAUGAUUCCUUAAA